RNAcentral lists this ribosomal RNA (265 nucleotides) under uncultured archaeon. RNAcentral's name for it is "partial 16S ribosomal RNA". It matches the Rfam family "Archaeal small subunit ribosomal RNA", at positions 717 to 982 of the family's 1478-position model. The record is from RNAcentral.
ACACGACUACAUUAGAUACCCGGGUAGUCCUAGCCGUAAACGAUACUCGCUAGGUGUCGGCCACGGUGCGACCGUUGUCGGUGCCGUAGGGAAGCCGUGAAGCGAGCCACCUGGGAAGUACGGCCGCAAGGCUGAAACUUAAAGGAAUUGGCGGGGGAGCACAACAACGGGCGGAGUUUGCGGUUUAAUUGGAUUCAACGCCGGAAAUCUUACCGGGACCGACAGCAACAUGAAGGCCAAGCUGAAGACUUUGCCGGAUUAGCUG